Non-coding RNA from Paramarasmius palmivorus, 93 nucleotides. The record is from the annotation of a GenBank genome assembly. Lineage: Eukaryota; Fungi; Basidiomycota; Agaricomycetes; Agaricales; Marasmiaceae.
UCCGUUAUGGUGUAGUGGCUAACGUUAUCGCCUCUCAUUUAGGUUCCCGAGUUCGACUCGGGAUAGUCCAGGGUUCGAUUCCCUGCAACGGAA